UGGUAGUCCACGCUGUAAACGAUGUCGACUUGGAGGUUGUGCCCUUGAGGCGUGGCUUCCGGAGCUAACGCGUUAAGUCGACCGCCUGGGGAGUACGGCCGCAAGGUUAAAACUCAAAUGAAUUGACGGGGGCCCGCACAAGCGGUGGAGCAUGGGGUUUAAUUCGAUGCAACGCGAAGAACCUUACCUACUCUUGACAUCCACGGAAUUUAGCAGAAAUGCUUUAGUGCCUUCGGGAACCGUGAGACAGGUGCUGCAUGGCUGUCGUCAGCUCGUGUUGUGAAAUGUUGGGUUAAGUCCCGCAACGAGCGCAACCCUUAUCCUUUGUUGCCAGCACGUAAUGGUGGGAACUCAAAGGAGACUGCCGGUGAUAAACCGGAGGAAGGUGGGGAUGACGUC
This 399-nucleotide ribosomal RNA is filed under the name Yersinia enterocolitica. Its description in RNAcentral is "bacterial SSU rRNA". It matches the Rfam family "Bacterial small subunit ribosomal RNA", at positions 788 to 1186 of the family's 1533-position model. Lineage: Bacteria; Pseudomonadati; Pseudomonadota; Gammaproteobacteria; Enterobacterales; Yersiniaceae. The record is from RNAcentral.